ACAAGCCAUGCGGUGCAGCCAAAAUAAAAAGGAAUAUGCACACAGACUUCGGGCCAGGUCCUGUGCCACAUGUGCCUCCCCUUCCUGACUGUCACCAGCCACUUGUACAAAUGUGAACCCAGGGGCUCAGUCACACAGUCCUUGUCCCAGGGUGCAGAGAGUCAAGAUGGGGCCAGGGCUGGUCCCAGGCAUUCUCUGGUUAAACACUGUGCUCUGAAGCCAGGCUUCCUCUCCGAGCCUCAGCUCCCGUCUGUUCAAUAAGCCUGUAUCAGCCACUGCCCCGUGGACUGGUAUGAAGCCCUUGGGACAGUGGCUGCUACCUGGUAAGCACGAUCGAUGUUCUUACUUUUAUUCUUCUUUCUUUAUAGAAUAAGAAUAAUCACAGCACAAAUACCUUGCAGAGUUGUGGUGAGGAUGAAGAGACAGAACAAAUAUAAAACAUGUACAACCUUGGUACAAUAGACACUGCUCCUUCAUGACAGGACAUUUGAGAGCACCCAGGCCCGACAUACAAGUUAAGAUGUUACUCGAGCAGAAGUCACUGGUUUAUAGAAGGGAACGAGUCCUAUGUUGGCGAGGAAUCCAGAGAGGGCCUGCAAGUUACUACUGGUAAUGUUUUGCUUCUUAACCUGGGGUGUUGAGUCCAAGUAUUUAGCAAUAUUAGGACUAGGACCAAUCAGAACAGUUGCUGGCUAGAAACAAUGGGUGUGUCUAGUUCAGACCUACUGACUAUGAACCUUGAUGCGGAUAUUCAUUGUAUUAUUCUGUGAACUAUUCACAGAUUUUUCUGUUCACUUUUUUGGAUAUAUGUUUCAUAGAAAAGAAUUAAGAGACUGAUUCAUUCUUUAGCUGGAUAGCUUCAGACAGUUUCCAACUGGCUGGUGCCCAGUUUAUAUGAACUAUCAAUGUUUUGAGUGUAACGCCCAGUUGAGUCAGCCCAGCCAGAGCAGGGCUCACAGGACUGGUUUUAGGAUGUGCAUCCUCUCAGACCGGCUGGGGCUUUAACAGAGGCCCAUGCCUUCAGAAGGUGACCUAAAGGACCGACUCCUGGGCCACCCCCUUGGCCAGUUAUCACCUCUCCUGGAUCCAGACCAUUCAUUAAAGCGGCACAGUGACCACUGAGAUCCUGCCCACGAGAGAAAGGCACAGCUGACAGAGGGAGAGAGUCCAGCUAAAGGUGGCUUUCGCUGUUACGUGCAGUCAAAGGAGCCCAUCUAAUGAGGCACAGGACGCAGAAGGAAAGGGCUCACCAGCAAACUUGAUGGCUGUGAUGGAGGAGGAAUGGUCAUCCAGGGUCUGCUCC
Orcinus orca (killer whale) is the source of this 1303-nucleotide long non-coding RNA. RefSeq lists it as uncharacterized. NCBI's taxonomy places the organism in Eukaryota, Metazoa, Chordata, Mammalia, Artiodactyla, Delphinidae. The transcript has 3 exons. The record is from RefSeq and is a predicted model, not a curated record.